GGGCCCGCACAAGCGGUGGAGUAUGUGGUUUAAUUCGAUGCAACGCGAAGAACCUUAUCCUAGUCUUGACAUGUAUGGAUUAACCCUGUGAAAGCAGGGCCACGCCUUCGGGUGGAACAUACACAGGUGCUGCAUGGCUGUCGUCAGCUCGUGUCGUGAGAUGUCGCGUUAAGUCGCUUAACGAGCGAAACCCUUGUCUCUAGUUGCCAGCGCGUAAUGGCGGGGACUCUAGAGAGACCGCCGGCGUUAAGCCGGAGGAAGGUGGGGAUGACGUCAAGUCCUCAUGGCCCUUAUGACUAGGGCUGCACACGUCCUACAAUGGAACGCACAAAGGGAUGCGAAACCGCGAGGUCAAGCAAAUCCCAAAAAUCGUUCCCUAGUUCGGAUUGCAGGCUGCAACUCGCCUGCAUGAAGCUGGAAUCGCUAGUAAUCGCGGGUC
Molecule: ribosomal RNA, 439 nt
Filed under: uncultured bacterium
Lineage: Bacteria
Description: bacterial SSU rRNA
Rfam family: Bacterial small subunit ribosomal RNA
Source: RNAcentral